Molecule: long non-coding RNA, 435 nt
Filed under: Fukomys damarensis (Damara mole-rat)
Lineage: Eukaryota; Metazoa; Chordata; Mammalia; Rodentia; Bathyergidae
Description: lncRNA (ENSFDAG00000024579.1)
Source: RNAcentral
UGUGUGUGUGUGUUUACAGCAUACUGUGGCGUAGAUAUGUGUUUAUGCACAGACGUACACACAUGUGCACACACACAUAUCUCUGCAUCAUUUGCUUUUUAUGAGUGGAAGAAAACAAAAAAAUUACAUAAUAGUUACCUCUGUGCAUGUGACGGCACCAUUAGCUGACGUCACGAGUAUUUCCAGGGCACUUCUGAGUCGUGUGUCACAGCCCUGGCAGUGGGAUGUGCUCUGACUAUGCUGAACUGAAAGCGGCCCUAGGGACAAAGGGCCUACAUCAUGCCAGCAGAGGAAGAAUCACACCAGCCAGGGGAGAGAGAAGAGCUGAGAGGCACGGGAGAGGCUGCACAUGAAGGCACAGUGGAAAAGAGCAGCUGUCCUUGGCGACGCAACCUUGGGAAAAUCUCCAUAACCUCCCAGCCUGGAUCCAGCCCA